Molecule: ribosomal RNA, 300 nt
Filed under: Salmonella enterica subsp. enterica serovar Kentucky str. 29439
Lineage: Bacteria; Pseudomonadati; Pseudomonadota; Gammaproteobacteria; Enterobacterales; Enterobacteriaceae
Description: partial 23S ribosomal RNA
Rfam family: Bacterial large subunit ribosomal RNA
Source: RNAcentral
GGUCCCUAUCUGCCGUGGGCGCUGGAGAACUGAGGGGGGCUGCUCCUAGUACGAGAGGACCGGAGUGGACGCAUCACUGGUGUUCGGGUUGUCAUGCCAAUGGCACUGCCCGGUAGCUAAAUGCGGAAGAGAUAAGUGCUGAAAGCAUCUAAGCACGAAACUUGCCCCGAGAUGAGUUCUCCCUGAGACUUAAAGUCUCCUGAAGGAACGUUGAAGACGACGACGUUGAUAGGCCGGGUGUGUAAGCGCAGCGAUGCGUUGAGCUAACCGGUACUAAUGAACCGUGAGGCUUAACCUUAC